This 254-nucleotide ribosomal RNA is filed under the name uncultured bacterium. Its description in RNAcentral is "partial 16S ribosomal RNA". It matches the Rfam family "Bacterial small subunit ribosomal RNA", at positions 524 to 776 of the family's 1533-position model. The record is from RNAcentral.
CACGUAGGGUGCGAGCGUUGUCCGGAAUUAUUGGGCGUAAAGAGCUCGUAGGCGGUGUGUCGCGUCGGCCGUGAAAACUUGGGGCUUAACUCUGAGCGUGCGGUCGAUACGGGCAUCACUUGAGUUCGGCAGGGGAGACUGGAAUUCCUGGUGUAGCGGUGAAAUGCGCAGAUAUCAGGAGGAACACCGGUGGCGAAGGCGCCACUCUGGGCCGGUACUGACGCUGAGGAGCGAAAGCGUGGGUAGCAAACAGG